AGGUUUCCAGACAUUUAUUUCUGGAACUGUACACCAGGUAUUAAAGUACAACAAAUACAAAAUAAGGCUCAAAAAAAUCAGUGUUUAUGUACAAAUAUUAAAACCAAUGCAACAAUAGCGACUUCCUCUUGAACAUCUGAUACUAAAACAUGUUCCGAUUGUCACUAGAUUUGUUGUUAUGCACAGGGUAUGUACUUUGAACUGAGAAUAACUAGAAUCUCUGUUUUAUUAGGAGGACUAUAACCAUUCCUACUGUAUUUUACAAAUGAUAGUAUUUUCCUCCUCCUUUCAAUGAAAAAUAGAAAUAAAAAAAAUAGUAACCUUGUCAUUACUUUAUAAAUUACUGUAUUUAGUUUCCCUGUCUGUAGACAAUGUGCUUGUAAUGCUGGGCAAAUAGUGUCCCUGUUGGUCAGUUUAUCCAUUAGUUUACAUUCAAAGUUGAAAUAUUCCCUAUAGACUUUGGUUAAAUUAAGUAGUAUCGCUAUGUUCUACUUGAUCUGAAGUUUUCCUAUGUUUUUGACCCUCAGUUUUAAAAAUUAAAAACAGGAAACAAUUGCACAGUUCAUUGACCUAAUUGUACACAAUUUAGUAUUCUUCUAACAGUAUUGUACAUCCUUCAAGUAAAUUCAGCGGCAUGACAAGAGGAAAACUAAACAUUUAAAAACCUAUCAUGAGAAGACGUAUGACUUAUCAAAGUAAAAGUAUUGCUAUAAUCACAGCACCAGUUACACUUCUAAAUGAAUCAGCUACCCUCUUCAGGUUCCCUGUACAUACAAAGGAUACAUCUACCAACACUGCAAUUGCCCAUCAUGGAUUUUUUGGUUUGUCUGUAGGAAGAACAAGUGUGGCAAAGGACAAAGAAUUCAUCACAGUUUGUUAGAAGAAUUGUGCUUCACCAUCUGAGGACCAAGGCAAUGUAAUUUCUUCAUAUGGCUGCAAUUCAGUUAUCUUCAUGCUGACUUUCAAAACACAAUUCUUUUAAUAAACAGUAACAAGUUCUCCAUUUAAAUGUUUAAACUGAGAGAAAAAUAAGUAAGUCCAGCUUUUAAAAGGAAAGUUCAAUAAAUAGCUAUUUUACAUGGAUAAAGUCAUAGUGGUACAAAUUUAUGAAUGUCACAUCAAGCAUGCACAAAAAUGUUACUAUACACGGAAGUAGUCAGAAAAUAUUGAAAUAGAUAUCUAAAAAGAUAUGAAGAAUUUACAUAUUUACAAAAUCUUGCAAAUUAUUGCCUCAUUUUAACAAGGAAUUAAAAGUAAACGAUACCAGCUAGCUAGCCAACAGGCUAAAUAUGAUCAGCAUUUAAAAAUCUAUUAGACUAGCUGGAAUUCAUUUUUCUCUCAUAUCAUUUUCUGAAUUUUGGUCAAAAGUCUUUAUUAAAUAACUAAAGUGUCCAUUCAACUUGCUGACAACCCAAACCUUAGACAAGCCUCUGUCUACAUUAAGAGCCCAGCAAUGCAUAGAUAAACUGAAUAUAUUACUGCAUCAGCUAAUGAGAAUGGGCAUGUUCAUUUAAGUGCAACUGGUAUAAGCAUUCAGUCAUCUUUGUAUAAUGAUUUCUGUACAGACCAGCCACUCACUGUAAACCCAUAGAUAAACUUGAAUGUAUAACAAUGGAAGAUCAUGGCCAGUAUUUUACAAAAUUACAUAAAACGUGCUGAUUCAUAAAGAAAAGAAACCAGGUACAAAGUUCAGCACAAAACGCAGCAAGAAGCUGACAACUUGGCUAAAAAUGUCAAGAGUACAACACAGGGCCAAGGCUACCCGUUAUUUACUGUGUACUUACUAAAGUUACAUAUUUCAGAUGUGUAAGUUAAGAACUGAUUACAAAAUCAUCUCUACUUUUGUCCACUGUGCUAAACUAAUUUGUUUUUAAUAUGGUAAAUGUGCUAUUGCAUGAACACUUAAAAGCAAUCUUCAUUACAAUGCUGUAAAGAGAACUCCACAUGCUGCAUCCCAAACUCAGGAUGUCAAUGCAGUUCACAGUAUGCAUAAUAAAUACCCUCUUCCCUUUCAAAUAUUUAAGUCAUUACUUUCUAAUUACUCAGCAUAACCUUGAAGCAACCAUUACAAAUAUCAACAAUACAAACUUAAUCACUUGAAUAAUGAAAACAAAGCAGUGGCAAUUAAAUCUGUAAUACAAACAGUGCAAAGAAAAAGUAUGGAGGGAAAGGGGUCAUUCUACUGAAGUGAGGUUCAGAUUCUCAUUGAAAAACCCUGUAAGUUGUGUGCUACAACGACAUGUUGCAAUCCAGUCCUAUGGUUUGACUUCCCUGCAGGAAUUAGAACAAAUGUUAGCCAGACAAGCUUCCUGGAUGGCUAAAUUGCACUCAAUGUUUAAAAUAAAAAAUUUAUGGAAGUUAAGUAGCUGCUGAGAAACAUAUUUACUUAUCGUUUCCUAUUUGACCAAUGGAGCGAAGUGCCAUUUUUAAGCCAAUGACUUGCCUAAACAAAUAAAUGCAACCCAUACUAAAGAAAAACUUUAAAAUACAUACUUCAAGGUUCUACUGUUCCUAUCUAAACUACACAGUCCCUCAAAACUGUAACACUUUGAACUGCAGUGCUCCAAACAAUUUAAGAUGUCUUCCAAAUGUAGACUGUUUGUUUAGUGGUAAAUCCCAAGCUGUGCAGACUGUAGCUUUAUACACCACCAGCUGUCUUAGGAAAGUUUAGGUACAUGAUUACAUUACUCUCCAAGGUUGUGGACAAAACCCAUCCAAACACAAUAUAGCCUAAAUCGCAUCUGUUUCAGCCAGUAAUUUUGAAGUACACAGACACCUAUGGCAGCAUUAUUACUUCUGUGUAAGGUAGCCAUGGCCUGUAGUUUUUUGCAACGGCAUCGAAGUGUAGGUCUUCACACUUUACCCACGUUAAGUCCC
Long non-coding RNA from Strigops habroptila (Kakapo), 2877 nucleotides. The record is from Ensembl. NCBI's taxonomy places the organism in Eukaryota, Metazoa, Chordata, Aves, Psittaciformes, Psittacidae.